This 310-nucleotide long non-coding RNA is filed under the name Fukomys damarensis (Damara mole-rat). RNAcentral describes it as "lncRNA (ENSFDAG00000028746.1)". The record is from RNAcentral. Lineage: Eukaryota; Metazoa; Chordata; Mammalia; Rodentia; Bathyergidae.
UGAGAGAUACUAGAAAUGGGGGAUCUCUCUGGUUCUUCUCCCAGGCAAGAUCUGGGGCUCCCUGGCAGACCUCAUACAACUGGAAUGGAGACUACAUGGGCCUGCUACCCCUGGUGCCUCUCAAGGUUCCGGAUGAAGACCACAUCCAAGGUGUCUCCCAAGCUGACUGUAAUAUUCCAGAUGGAUACGCAAAUGCAGAAGACCCUCAGCAGUAAACAAAAAGAAUUACAGUUUCUGGAUGCACAUAAGAUUUUUUCAAACUACCAUGUGGGCCAUCAUUCCUGCAAUGUGAGUAUCAGGGUAGGUGUCU